RNAcentral lists this ribosomal RNA (825 nucleotides) under Triticum aestivum (bread wheat). RNAcentral describes it as "partial small subunit ribosomal RNA". The record is from RNAcentral. Lineage: Eukaryota; Viridiplantae; Streptophyta; Magnoliopsida; Poales; Poaceae.
AUGUUGGCCGCGCUCCGCCAGGUCCAGUCUCCGGCGGCCAGAGCAAGCAAGAAGCGCAAGAAUCGCAAGAAGCGUCAGCAGGCCGGCACGUCGUCGGCGGCGGCAUGGCCCGCCACGGGGCGCCACUCGUGGGGCUCGAUCGCCGUCGUCAACCCCAGGCUGCAGGACGUGCUGAGCCACCCGGGCGCCUCCGCCCCGGAGAGCAUCUACGGGAGGCGGCUGACGAGGACGGACCGGAAGCUCCACCACAGCCGGCUACUCAUGUCGUGCAAGAUCUGGCGGGCGCGGGGCGAGACGUUCCCGCUGGAGCGUGUCCUGACGGACGCGGAGCAGGCGGCCGUGAAGGUGGCGGAGGGCCUGCAGAUGCAGGCCUACGACCGCCGCGGCAGGCACUACGACCUCGUCUGCAAGAAGCUGGACUCCAACAACGCCUACCGCCUCGUCCGCGGCUGGGGCACCUUCCUGAGAGCGAACGGCCUCGUCGUGGGGAAGAAGGACGGGGCCGAGGUCCUGGAGCCGGUCAUCAGGUUCGAUCUGCGGACGUUCCGCUCGCCGGCGCUCAAGAUGGGCGUCGACGGACAGCAGGGCGGCCCGCUCGGGCUCCUCAUCAUGCACUACCCCGAGGGAGGCGACCCGGCCACGCACGCCGAGGCGGGCAUCGCGGAGAUCCUGGCGGCGGCGGGGAACGCAGUGGCCAUGCCAUUGCCGGGCGGGGCCGCCGCGGUGCCCGUCCUGGAGGACGCCGUUGAUGCCCCACACGAGGAGGGCGCCGUUGAUGCCCCAGAGGAGGAGAACGCGGUGGAGGCUGAUGAUGGCGGCCGGUGA